GAUUCCUCCCCUCCCCCACCGCCCUCCAGCUAUAGCUAGUCUCCCUUUAUUACUCCCUUUACUAGGACUGUGUAAUACAAUGUGUUUCCCUUUUUAUCUCAGCUGCUGGGAAGCUCAAAGUCAUGCUAUACGCCUCAUUAAGUUUAUUCUGCUUCUGAGUUUUCUUCCCCCUCACUGUCCUCUCCUUUCAUGGCCAUGUCUUUAUCUUUUGUCCAUGUUUUGAUGAAACUAUCAUCUCUAUAUCUCAUAAGUUACUUAAAUACUUUUGGGAAGUGGCAUGCAAAUAAAUCAAUCAUGUGGACUCGCAUGUUCCAUUAAGUGCUUUGCAGAUGGGAAAAUUUGGAAGAUUAAUGCCGAUCCUAUGAUGAAGGCUGAAAUUUCACUUCUAACACAAAUUAAUCAUUAAUAUUUAAAAGCUUAGAUAUAGUCACAGCUAUGAACCUUUGCCUAGCCUUCGCCAUUUAUAAGGUGAGUGCUUUCCAACACGUGCUCUCAUUUUGUAAUUAGUGUUCAUGCUUUACAAAUGAGAAAAGUGAGGUUUGGAGAGCUUUCAGUGGCCUGUCAGAGGUCACAGAGUUUGUAAACUCAGCUCUUCUGACCCUAAGCCAAGUCUUUCGCCCCUGCGCCCCCGACAUCCUCGUUUCUCAAUGACUUCUCAUUUGAGCCAGUGUUCUUCUCAUCGUCCUCAAACAAGUUGUUUGCAGUUUUUGUUUUCUUUUUUCAACAUGCCGAUCAGAUUGGAGCAAAAGGCCAUCUUAGUGGUUAUUUCUCUUGCUGAGGUGAUCUGCAGAAAGUCUGGACACUGCUGAUUCAAGGUCUAAAGGGUCAAGCUUGAAAUGGUCGCUUCUGGAAGAUGUGAGCCCCCUUGCAUCAUCCCGGGUUUCCUGCCUCAGUUUGCCUGCCACAUAUCCUGCAGCUGUAUUUGAGGCCACAGACCUACCCCCAACUGCAACUGUACCGAAAAGCUUCAGGAAUAGUUUGUCCAGAAGGUCCGCUGCCGGUAGAAACUUCUGGAAGGCCAAGCACCCUAAAAGAGCUGUGCAUCCAACACCCUUCUCUCUGAUUUCCUUCUCCAGGUUUGGCCAGACUCAAUGCUCGUUCUCCAUUAGGCCUCAGAUCCUACCUACAGUCUGGGGGCUGGAGAGGCUAAUCUCAAAGGGCUAGAAAUGAGUCAGUUUCCACGCUCAGCUUCAGGUG
Molecule: long non-coding RNA, 1197 nt
Filed under: Ursus maritimus (polar bear)
Lineage: Eukaryota; Metazoa; Chordata; Mammalia; Carnivora; Ursidae
Description: lncRNA (ENSUMAG00000004019.1)
Source: RNAcentral